This 478-nucleotide ribosomal RNA is filed under the name uncultured bacterium. Its description in RNAcentral is "partial 16S ribosomal RNA". It matches the Rfam family "Bacterial small subunit ribosomal RNA", at positions 28 to 507 of the family's 1533-position model. The record is from RNAcentral.
GAUGAACGCUGGCGGCGUGCUUAACACAUGCAAGUCGAACGGGAAAUCUUUCAUUGAGCCUUCGGUGGAUUUGAUUUAUUUCUAGUGGCGGACGGGUGAGUAACGCGUGGGUAACCUGCCUUAUACAGGGGGAUAACAGUCAGAAAUGGCUGCUAAUACCGCAUAAGCGCACAGAGCUGCAUGGCUCAGUGUGAAAAACUCCGGUGGUAUAAGAUGGACCCGCGUUGGAUUAGCUAGUUGGUGGGGUAACGGCCCACCAAGGCGACGAUCCAUAGCCGGCCUGAGAGGGUGAACGGCCACAUUGGGACUGAGACACGGCCCAGACUCCUACGGGAGGCAGCAGUGGGGAAUAUUGCACAAUGGGGGAAACCCUGAUGCAGCGACGCCGCGUGAAGGAAGAAGUAUCUCGGUAUGUAAACUUCUAUCAGCAGGGAAGAUAGUGACGGUACCUGACUAAGAAGCCCCGGCUAACUACGUG